Molecule: long non-coding RNA, 1071 nt
Organism: Zeugodacus cucurbitae (melon fly)
Lineage: Eukaryota; Metazoa; Arthropoda; Insecta; Diptera; Tephritidae
Exons: 3
Source: RefSeq, a predicted model, not a curated record
AUGUGUCAUUGAAUCGAUUGGACAAUGACAUCAAAAUUAGGUCAAAAGCUAACUUUCAUUAUAGUGUUCUAUGAUGAUAUAAUUAUAUUAAAAAUCUCUAAACAGAGAGGGUAUAUUUUAGAAAUUUGAAAAAACAUUAUUUGUAUAGUUUUAAUACCACGAAUGAUAAGUUAUGAUUUUCUACGGGCUUUCAGAAUAUUAUCACUACUGAUAUUUAUAAAGUAAGUACCGGAUCACAUAUUUGCAAGAGUUGAGAACUGUCUAAAUACGAAUUUUAUGUAUCAGCUUAUUUUGGAAGCAGUGUGGAUUGAUCAAGUUUUUGCGCUCACAACUUACGAACGGGAGCUAAUGAAUGUGCUAAUGCGAUACUUACCUAAGCAGGUGCAGUGGAAGUAAGCGCGAUAAGGCGUUUAAAAUGUAAAACGUCGACCGCCAACUACUUCGCUACGUCCACAUUCUGUUGACCUGUUUUGCGCUUAUACUAAGUUAAUUAAUGUUGUCCAAAUACUCAGAGAUAAUAAUAAUAAUGGCUACCACUGACUGCCCUACGAUUCGUGUAUUGGUGAGUUCUGCAAACAUGGAAAGUAAUCGACUCAGGCUUCAUAUUCAACACUACAAAUGUAUGUAUGUAUAUAUGUAAGAACAAUGAUUGCGUGUGCACAUACACAUAUACGUAUAUAUGUAUAUAAUUAUUAUAUAGAUAUAUUUAUAUUGCAUGUUACUGUCUUCAUUAUUUGGUAAAUAGUUUACAUAAUUAAUUAUAUUUGUACUAAUGUCAAUAAUAUAUAUAUUCCUAGAUACUGAUAAACUGCUAGUAACAAUUACAUAACAAUAACGAUACGCUUUUAUUGAUAUGUAUAUAUGUAUGUAUAUAUAUAAAUAUAUAUAACUUAUAGUAUGUCUGUAUGUCUAUCACAAAUUACGCAAUAUUCUACCUAAUACCCAUGUUGAAUUCGUAUAAAAACGAAAGUUGUCUUAAUAUAAUAAUUAAGUAUUCUCACUUCGAAUUGUGUAGGGUUGUCAAGAAUUAUGUAACGUUAAUGUCCUAAUAAAUCAUUCAAAUUCAAUCAA